GCCCAACUGGCGCAAUGGUAGCGCGUGAGAUUUCUGCAGACGUAAUAAAGUAUCUCAAGGCUAAGGGUUCGAAUCCCUUGUUGGGUU
This is a non-coding RNA of Nemania serpens, 87 nucleotides long. Lineage: Eukaryota; Fungi; Ascomycota; Sordariomycetes; Xylariales; Xylariaceae. The record is from the annotation of a GenBank genome assembly.